UACGGGGGGGGCAAGCGUUGUUCGGAAUUACUGGGCGUAAAGGGCUCGUAGGCGGCCAACUAAGUCAGACGUGAAAUCCCUCGGCUUAACCGGGGAACUGCGUCUGAUACUGGAUGGCUUGAGUUUGGGAGAGGGAUGCGGAAUUCCAGGUGUAGCGGUGAAAUGCGUAGAUAUCUGGAGGAACACCGGUGGCGAAGGCGGCAUCCUGGACCAACACUGACGCUGAGGAGCGAAAGCGUGGGGAGCGAACAGG
This 253-nucleotide ribosomal RNA is filed under the name uncultured bacterium. RNAcentral's name for it is "partial 16S ribosomal RNA". It matches the Rfam family "Bacterial small subunit ribosomal RNA", at positions 524 to 776 of the family's 1533-position model. The record is from RNAcentral.